This is a long non-coding RNA of Harpia harpyja (harpy eagle), 688 nucleotides long. RefSeq lists it as uncharacterized. Lineage: Eukaryota; Metazoa; Chordata; Aves; Accipitriformes; Accipitridae. The record is from RefSeq and is a predicted model, not a curated record. The transcript is spliced from 3 exons.
AAAUUGCAGAGAGAUGAUUCCUAAUGAGGACUCGUCUGCAGUGUUUUAGCCUCAGAAAUCUCGGCUGCUCCUUUCUGCGGUGACAACCUUGCCCUUCACCUGCCUGCAGGUUUUGGCACAAGGGACCUGUAGGAGAAACCUGUGACAACAGUACAGCGUCCCUAAGGAUGCUGCAGGCUCAGUUGUCUCUCAGGGGCUUGGGCUGGACCAGCUGCCGUGAUCUGGUUGCACAAAGGAUGUGCUCUCUCCUUCUCACCCCAGUUGCACAGACAGGUUCAGAAUGAGCCCUGCAAGGUGGAAGCACGUCUCAGCCCCUACACCCACUCCGUGCAGCACCACACGUUGCUAAGCCCACCCGAUUCCUCCUGCAUUAGGAAUAUAAGCACAGGAGCUUCCUAACUACGUCUCCUGCUGCUGCUGGCUCCGCAACUUGGAACAGGUUAGGUUCCCUCCUGAAUUCUCUUGUUAUUAAUAUCACAAACCAAGCUGUUCUGAGAGCGGUGUCCCAUUAAUCAUUUUAGCUCUGCUGCAGUUUUUACCUCGCUUCCUCUUCCUGUGCCUGAACAGUCUUCAAUAACAUUCAGCUCUGUGGGUAGCGCUUGGUUAAAAUCAGCAGGUCUGCUAGAGCAGGGAAGGACCCUGACCUGAGCAAGCUGGGGCCAAGUGAAGGUGGGACAAGGAUGCAUCC